RNAcentral lists this transfer RNA (72 nucleotides) under Sphaerodactylus townsendi. Its description in RNAcentral is "tRNA-Ala". It matches the Rfam family "tRNA". Rfam says of the family: Transfer RNA (tRNA) molecules are approximately 80 nucleotides in length. Lineage: Eukaryota; Metazoa; Chordata; Lepidosauria; Squamata; Sphaerodactylidae. The record is from RNAcentral.
GGGGCUGUGGCUCAGUGGUUGAGCAUCUGCUUGGCACGCAGAAGGUUCCAGGUUCAAUCUCAGUCAUCUCCA